Colossoma macropomum (tambaqui) is the source of this 208-nucleotide long non-coding RNA. RefSeq lists it as uncharacterized. NCBI's taxonomy places the organism in Eukaryota, Metazoa, Chordata, Actinopteri, Characiformes, Serrasalmidae. The transcript is spliced from 3 exons. The record is from RefSeq and is a predicted model, not a curated record.
AAGGCAAUCAAGAAGCAAGAGAAGGACCUGAAACUCAAACCAGAAAUACGAGGAGAUGACUGUGGCAGAGGGACUGUCCUCAGGGUUAGCCCAGCGAUGUCCAGCCUCAUUGGGAUCAGCGGAGACAGAGCUGUGGGGCCGCCAGCCUCUCUCUCAGUGAGGGCUUCUUGGCAUCUAAACAUCCUUUCAGACCCACAGUGUUGUCUUC